ACGGUCCUAAGGUAGCGAAAUUCCUUGUCGGGUAAGUUCCGACCCGCACGAAUGGCGUAACGACUUGGGCACUGUCUCAACAAGGGACCCGGCGAAAUUGUAGUAUGUGUGAAGAUGCACAUUACCCGCGAUAGGACGGAAAGACCCCGUAGAGCUUUACUGUAGUUUAACAUUGGAUUUCGGUAACAUAUGUACAGGAUAGGUGGGAGGCGAAGAACCAGGGACGCCAGUUUCUGGGGAGCCGACCUUGGGAUACCACUCUUGUGUUAUUGGAGUUCUAACGAAGUGCCGUAAACCGGGCUUCGGACAGUGUUAGAUGGGCAGUUUGACUGGGGCGGUCGCCUCCGAAAGAGUAACGGAGGCGUCCAAAGGUUCCCUCAGAAUGGUUGGAAACCAUUCGCAGAGUGUAAAGGCAGAAGGGAGCUUGACUGCGAGACCGACAGGUCGAGCAGGUGCGAAAGCAGGGCUUAGUGAUCCGGCGGUAUGAGAGUGGAAUUGCCGUCGCUCAACGGAUAAAAGCUACCUCGGGGAUAACAGGCUGAUCUCCCCCAAGAGUUCACAUCGACGGGGAGGUUUGGCACCUCGAUGUCGGCUCGUCGCAUCCUGGGGCUGGAGCAGGUCCCAAGGGUUUGGCUGUUCGCCAAUUAAAGCGGCACGCGAGCUGGGUUCAGAACGUCGUGAGACAGUUCGGUCCCUAUCCAUCGUGGGCGCAGGAGAUUUGAGAGGAGCUGUCCUUAGUACGAGAGGACCGGGAUGGACGCACCAAGGGUGAAUCAGUUGUCGUGCCAACGGCACAGCUGGGUAGCCAAGUGCGGAUCGGAUAAACGCUGAAGGCAUCUAAGCGUGAAGCCGACCUCAAGAUAAGAUCUCCCAUCCGAAAGGAGUAAGACCCCAUGAAGACCACAUGGUUGAUAGGCCGGAGGUGGAAGUGCAGUAAUGUACGGAGCUGACCGGUACUAAUAGGUCGAGGGCUUGAUCGA
This 980-nucleotide ribosomal RNA is filed under the name human gut metagenome. RNAcentral's name for it is "bacterial LSU rRNA". It matches the Rfam family "Bacterial large subunit ribosomal RNA", at positions 1945 to 2925 of the family's 2925-position model. The record is from RNAcentral.